RNAcentral lists this non-coding RNA (22 nucleotides) under Arabidopsis thaliana (thale cress). Lineage: Eukaryota; Viridiplantae; Streptophyta; Magnoliopsida; Brassicales; Brassicaceae. The record is from RNAcentral.
UUCUAUUUUUCAGAGAUCCUUC